RNAcentral lists this transfer RNA (69 nucleotides) under Mustela putorius furo (domestic ferret). It matches the Rfam family "tRNA". From Rfam's summary of the family: Transfer RNA (tRNA) molecules are approximately 80 nucleotides in length. Their secondary structure includes four short double-helical elements and three loops (D, anti-codon, and T loops). Lineage: Eukaryota; Metazoa; Chordata; Mammalia; Carnivora; Mustelidae. The record is from Rfam by way of RNAcentral.
ACCUGGCUGGCUCAGAAGAGCGUGAUACUCUUGAUCUCAAGGUUGUGGGUUCGAGCCUCACACUGGGUG